Long non-coding RNA from Dicentrarchus labrax (European seabass), 1161 nucleotides. RefSeq lists it as uncharacterized. Lineage: Eukaryota; Metazoa; Chordata; Actinopteri; Moronidae. The transcript is spliced from 2 exons. The record is from RefSeq and is a predicted model, not a curated record.
AGCAGAGGCCCUUUGUGGCACUGUGCAGCAGCUGUGUGAGACAGAACAGAUACAUUAUGCAAACACACAGACAUCCAAACAAGUUUCCACACUUCAAACAAAGCGUGUUACACGCUGGCUGUUUUUAGAGAUAACGUUCAAAAUAUUAAUAUCAGACGGGCAUAUUUGCACAGCUGUGUCUUGUGUAAACCAAAGGCCAGUACACAGUGUGUUGGACCUCUGCCUGUACUGACAGACCUCUGGAGGAGAAGCAGCCACUCAGUCCCUGAAAACAGAAAACUGAACGAAAGGACACAGCUGACACAGAACCAUACAGGAGCAAACAGGGAACUUUAAGAUUAAUGAAAUGGAGUCGCUGAAGUGGUGAUUUUAUAAGCAUCUGUACUGCUUUUUAUAGGAUCUCUGUUGUGAAAAAAAAAGAAAAAAUCAAUAUGCCAAAUAGUGCAGGGUUCAGUAGACACAGUGAUGUGACAGUGCUGAGGUUUAUCAUUCAUAGAACUCCCUAGUUAGAACAUUAAUUAAACAUUGAUAUUAUUAAUGAGGGCUACUUAUUACUAAGGGAGCUGAUUCAAAGAUUGUUUUAACAUCAUUGUUGUUAAGGGCAACUGAGGCCUUCAUUAGGCUAAAAGUUUCUUCUCAGUGGAGCUGAGCUUUUGUAUUUCUUUCACAUUUGUUGCAUCUUUCUCUUCCUUUCUUUCGUUUUUGAACUCUGUCCAUCUUUUGCCACACUGCUAAGUUUUAAGAUGUUAUGCAGCGAAUAAUUUGAAGGUCUAUUAGUCACAAUCACGCACAGACAUGCUCAGACUUACACCUGAAACUGCAAUGAAACUUAAACACACGUAGGCAGAAAUUGUGACUCAUAUCCUAAAUUACAGUCAACACAAACUUUUUUCUUCUCAUCCCACGCCAUAGACAUCGCUGCUCCAGCCACCAGAGUCAUGACUGUUCAUUAGGGUCUGAUGUUCAUGUCAAAAACAGUUCACAGAGAGGUCAUUCAGAAAAUAAUCAAUAAGUGGCCCUGGAACAACAACAGUGCUGUUGAAAUGAAUAUAUGGAGUUCACAAAAGCUAAAAUAAAUGCAAUUUGAUGUAACUAUCUACCUUAAUUUGUUAAUUUUUAGUAACACUAGUAAUAAAGCGUGUUGUUCACAUGUAUUAGAAA